AACGGGUGAGUAACACGUAAGCAACCUGCCCUUAAGACGAGGAUAACAAUUGGAAACAGUUGCUAAGACUGGAUAGGAAAAGUGAAGGCAUCUUUACUUUUUUAAAAGACCUUCUUUGAAGGUAUGCUUAAGGAGGGGCUUGCGACACAUUAGUUAGUUGGCAGGGUAAAGGCCUACCAAGACUAUGAUGUGUAGCUGGACUGAGAGGUUGAACAGCCACAUUGGGACUGAGACACGGCCCAAACUCCUACGGGAGGCAGCAGUAGGGAAUUUUCGGCAAUGGAGGAAACUCUGACCGAGCAACGCCGCGUGAACGAUGAAGUACCUCGGUAUGUAAAGUUCUUUUAUUAAGGAAGAAAAAAGAGUGGAAAAACUCCCUUGACGGUACUUAAUGAAUAAGCCCCGGCUAAUUAUGUGCCAGCAGCCGCGGUAAUACAUAAGGGGCGAGCGUUAUCCGGAAUUAUUGGGCGUAAAGGGUGCGUAGGCGGUUUAAUAAGUCUAUAGUUUAAUUUCAGCGCUUAACGCUGUUGUGCUAUAGAAACUGUUUUACUAGAGUGAGAUAGAGGCAAGCGGAAUUCCAUGUGUAGCGGUAAAAUGCGUAAAUAUAUGGAGGAACACCAGAGGCGUAGGCGGCUUGCUGGGUCUUUACUGACGCUGAGGCACGAAAGCGUGGGGAGCAAACAGGAUUAGAUACCCUGGUAGUCCACGCCGUAAACGAUGAGUACUAAGUGUCGGGUAAAACCGGUACUGAAGUUAACACAUUAAGUACUCCGCCUGAGUAGUACGUACGCAAGUAUGAAACUUAAAGGAAUUGACGGGACUCCGCACAAGCGGUGGAUCAUGUUGUUUAAUUCGAAGAUACACGAAAAACCUUACCAGGUCUUGACAUUUUCUUGCGAAGUUAUAGAAAUAUAAUGGAGGUUAUCAGGAAAACAGGUGGUGCAUGGUUGUCGUCAGCUCGUGUCGUGAGAUGUUAGGUUAAGUCCUAAAACGAGCGCAACCCUUGUCGUUAAUUGCCAGCAUGUAAUGAUGGGGACUUUAACGAGACUGCCAAUGAAAAAUUGGAGGAAGGUGGGGAUUACGUCAAAUCAUCAUGCCCCUUAUGAUCUGGGCUACAAACGUGAUACAAUGGUUGAUACAAAGAGUAGCUUAAACGCGAGUUCUUAGCCAAUCUCACAAAAUCAAUCUCAGUUCGGAUUGAAGUCUGCAACUCGACUUCAUGAAGUUGGAAUCGCUAGUAAUCGUGAAUCAGCAUGUCGCGGUGAAUACGUUCUCGGGGUUUGUACACACCGCCCGUCAAACCACGAAAGUUGGCAAUACCCCAAAGCGGUCGCCUAACUUCGCAAGAAGAAGGAUCCGUCUAAGGUAGGGUCGAUAAUUGGGGUUAAGUCGUAA
RNAcentral lists this ribosomal RNA (1395 nucleotides) under Goldenrod yellows phytoplasma. Its description in RNAcentral is "bacterial SSU rRNA". It matches the Rfam family "Bacterial small subunit ribosomal RNA". Lineage: Bacteria; Bacillati; Mycoplasmatota; Mollicutes; Acholeplasmatales; Acholeplasmataceae. The record is from RNAcentral.